UGGGUGGCGAGUGGCGGACGGGUGAGGAAUACAUCGGAAUCUACUUUUUCGUGGGGGAUAACGUAGGGAAACUUACGCUAAUACCGCAUACGACCUACGGGUGAAAGCAGGGGAUCUUCGGACCUUGCGCGAUUGAAUGAGCCGAUGUCGGAUUAGCUAGUUGGCGGGGUAAAGGCCCACCAAGGCGACGAUCCGUAGCUGGUCUGAGAGGAUGAUCAGCCACACUGGAACUGAGACACGGUCCAGACUCCUACGGGAGGCAGCAGUGGGGAAUAUUGGACAAUGGGCGCAAGCCUGAUCCAGCCAUACCGCGUGGGUAAAGAAGGCCUUCGGGUUGUAAAGCCCUUUUGUUGGGAAAGAAAUCCAGCCGGUUAAUACCUGGUUGGGAUGACGGUACCCAAAGAAUAAGCACCGGCUAACUUCGUGCCAGCAGCCGCGGUAAUACGAAGGGUGCAAGCGUUACUCGGAAUUACUGGGCGUAAAGCGUGCGUAGGUGGUUGUUUAAGUCUGUUGUGAAAGCCCUGGGCUCAACCUGGGAACUGCAGUGGAAACUGGAUAACUAGAGUGUGGUAGAGGGUAGCGGAAUUCCCGGU
This 593-nucleotide ribosomal RNA is filed under the name uncultured Stenotrophomonas sp. Its description in RNAcentral is "bacterial SSU rRNA". It matches the Rfam family "Bacterial small subunit ribosomal RNA", at positions 85 to 674 of the family's 1533-position model. Lineage: Bacteria; Pseudomonadati; Pseudomonadota; Gammaproteobacteria; Lysobacterales; Lysobacteraceae. The record is from RNAcentral.